GAGGGAAAGGUGAAAAGCACCCCGGAAGGGGAGUGAAACAGUUCCUGAAACCGUGUGCCUACAAGUAGUUAGAGCCCGUUAAUGGGUGAUAGCGUGCCUUUUGUAGAAUGAACCGGCGAGUUACGAUUUGUUGCAAGGUUAAGCGGAAAAAGCGGAGCCGUAGCGAAAGCGAGUCUGAAUAGGGCGCAUAAGUAACAGGUCGUAGACCCGAAACCAGGUGAUCUACCCAUGUCCAGGAUGAAGGUAAGGUAAUACUUACUGGAGGUCCGAACCCACGCACGUUGAAAAGUGCGGGGAUGAGGUGUGGGUAGCGGAGAAAUUCCAAUCGAACUUGGAGAUAGCUGGUUCUCUCCGAAAUAGCUUUAGGGCUAGCCUCGAGGUAAAGAGUCAUGGAGGUAGAGCACUGUUUGGACUAGGGGCCCUUCUCGGGUUACCGAAUUCAGAUAAACUCCGAAUGCCAUGUACUUAUACUCGGGAGUCAGACUGCGAGUGAUAAGAUCCGUAGUCGAAAGGGAAACAGCCCAGACCACCAGUUAAGGUCCCCAAAUAUAUGUUAAGUGGAAAAGGAUGUGGGGUUGCUUAGACAACCAGGAUGUUGGCUUAGAAGCAGCCACCAUUGAAAGAGUGCGUAAUAGCUCACUGGUCGAGUGACCCCGCGCCGAAAAUGUACCGGGGCUAAACAUAUUACCGAAACUGUGGAUGAACCUCUUUAGAGGUUCGUGGUAGGAGAGCGUUCUAAGGGCGGUGAAGUCAGACCGGAAGGACUGGUGGAGCGCUUAGAAGUGAGAAUGCCGGUAUGAGUAGCGAAAGAAGGGUGAGAAUCCCUUCCACCGAAUAUCUAAGGUUUCCUGAGGAAGGCUCGUCCGCUCAGGGUUAGUCGGGACCUAAGCCGAGGCCGAUAGGCGUAGGCGAUGGACAACAGGUAGAGAUUCCUGUACCAGUGCUAAUUGUUUAACCGA
This 959-nucleotide ribosomal RNA is filed under the name Listeria monocytogenes. Its description in RNAcentral is "bacterial LSU rRNA". It matches the Rfam family "Bacterial large subunit ribosomal RNA", at positions 505 to 1465 of the family's 2925-position model. Lineage: Bacteria; Bacillati; Bacillota; Bacilli; Caryophanales; Listeriaceae. The record is from RNAcentral.